This is a long non-coding RNA of Homo sapiens (human), 3068 nucleotides long. Ensembl annotates it as CDK5R2 antisense RNA 1. Its record names the gene CDK5R2-AS1. NCBI's taxonomy places the organism in Eukaryota, Metazoa, Chordata, Mammalia, Primates, Hominidae. The record is from Ensembl.
CACUGGGUCGCGGUAGCAGAUAAACCAUGGGAACAGCUCUCCUUCCCUCUGCCUUUGAAUUUGUGUGGGGGGCCAGUGUGAGCAGUGAGUGCCCUCACCGGAUGCCCAGGUCCCAGAUGGGUCGCGUUGCACUGGCUCCUCCAAUGUGACUGUCAGGUCUGUUUCCUCUUCGCGACCCCACCUCGCCCCCCACCCCCCAGGUCGCUAGGGGGGCUGCAGCAGGCACAUUUCUGCCCUGCCUGUUUGGGAGUCCUGGCAGAGCCUUCUUGCAGGUCACAACCCGCCUUCUUGGGGGUUCCAGCUUGAGGGGGAGAGGGGGAGCAGCAAGGUCUCAAAUAUGCCCCUGAGGCUUCUGCUUGCCGUCCUGAUUCUCUGCAACUGAGCCUGUGGGGCAGACCCUUGGCUCUGGUCCCUGGGCAGCUCCUCUCGGUUGGUUGUCCCCACUAACACACACAGAUCUCAUACUUGGGUGGAUGAUGGAUAAGGUUGGUCCCUGGGGAAACGCUAGAAAUUGGAUCACUUGGUCUACCCAGUCUUGGAUAGUGAACGGAGCCUCCUGUGUGGACGGAAGCCCAAGAGGGUUGGACCAACCUCCAGCCCAGCCCUGGGUCCAGGUUGAGGUGGGUUUCAUCAUUAAAUGCUUCCUGCAGUUUCUUAAUUCUUCUGAGGUCUAUAAAAGUGGACCAUACAAGGUGCAGUAGGAAGAGAUCACCAUCCACAGUCGGGCUGAGGCUGAAAGCACGUACCAGAUCAAGUAUGAGGAGCUGCAGACGCUGGCUGGGAAGCAUGGGGAUGACCUGCGUUGUGCAAAGACAGAUCUCCGAGAUGAACCAGAACAUCAGCAGGCUCCAGGCUGAGACUGAGGGCCUCAAAGGCCAGGGGGCUUCCCUGGAGGCCGCCAUCGCAGAUGCCGAGCAGUGGGGGGAGCUGGCCAUUAAAGAUGCCAACACCAAGCUGUCUGAGCUGGAGGCCGCCAUGCAGCGGGCCAAGCAGGACAUGGCACGCAGCUGGGUGAGUACCAGAAGCUGGCCCUGGACAUCGAGAUCGCCACCUACAGGAAGCUGCUGGAGGGCGAGGAGAGCCGUCUGGAGUCUGGGAUGCAGAACGCUGGAAUGCUAUGGCGUGAUCUCGGCUCACCGCAACCUCCACUUCCCAGGUUCUAGCGAUUCUCCUGCCUCGGCCUCCCGAGUAGCUGGGAUUACAGUCUUGCUGAGGCUGGAAUGCAGUGGUGUGAUAAUGGCUCACUACAGCCUCAACCUCCUGGACUCAAGUGAUCCUCCCACCUCAGCCUCCUGUGCAGCUGGGACCACAGGCAUACACCACCAUGCCCAGCUAAUUUAGAGCCACUCUCCUGAUGCUCAUUAGCAAGCCAGCCUCUGGCCCCUCCUAGGCUUGGUGAUAUCACCCCUCACCUGUCGCAGCUCCUGCCUCUCUCUUCCCAAAAACCUCUGCAGCUUUCACUUCCCCAGCAUGAUCUUAGUUUAGGCUUUCACAAAAGACUGGAAGAGCAGUGGCCUGGAAGCAACAUCUGAAAUAUCAACUUUUUUGUGACCAGAGACACCAAGGGGGAUUGGCAAGAGGAAAAGAUGGAGUCGGAGGCUCCAGGCUCAGUCCUUGGAGCUCUUCUCUCUGUAUCCUCUUUCUAGGUGAAAUUCACCCAUAUGUUGAUGACAUUCAAAUUUACGUCUCCAACCUGGAUCUCUCUUUUAAACACCAGACCUACUUGAGAUCUCCACUUGGAUGUAUUAUAGGCAUUUCAACAUGGCCAAAACCAACUCCUGAUACUCCCUCCCCACUUGCUCCUGCUGCUGCUCCCAUCUCCGUUAACAGUAAUUCUAGUUUACUAAAUCUCAGAUGAAUGUUUUGGAGUUAUCUUUGACUCCUCUUUUUAUUUCACGCCCAUAUUUAAUGCAUCAGCAAAUCUGGAUGGUUCUGCCUGCAAAAUAUAUCCAGAAUUCAACCACUGCUCACUACCUCCUUUGCCUCCACCCUGGCCCAAGCCACCACUAUCUCUUGCUUGGUUUAUUGCAAUAGCCCCCUAACGGUUCUUCCUACUUCUUCCCUACCUGCAGUGCUUUCUCAAAAUGGUAGAUAGAGUGGUCCUGUUAAAAUGAAAGCCAGAUCAUGUCACUCUUCUGUUUAACACCCUCCAACGGCUCCCAUCUCUGGUAGAGGAAAAUCCCAAGUCUUUACUAUGACCUACAAGGGCCUAUUGGUAGAUUAAAGAUAGUCACAAAUUAUUUGACACUCUUCCCAUUGAAAGGUAUAUUGCUAUCUCCCUUUCCAUGACUUCUUUGACCAAUGAAAUAUGGCAGAAGUGGCCAGUCGCGGUAGCUCAUGUCUGUAAUUCCAGCAUUUUGGGAGGCCAAGGCAGGUGGAUCCCUGAGGUCAGGAGUUCGAGACCAGCCUGGCCAACGUGGUGAAACCCCGUCUCUACUAGAAAUAUGGCAGAAGUGCCACUGUGUCUGUUUCUGUGUCCAGGCCUUAGAAGACUGGCAUUUUCUAUUUCCUGUCUCUUGAAACACUUGCUCUUGGAACCUUCAGACACCAUGUAAGAAAUCCAGCUAUUCUAAUAGAGACCACAUGGAGAGGCCCUGAGACUACAUGGAGAGGAAGAGGGGCCUAGCUGAACCCAGCCUUCCAGCUAUCUCCCCCAGGCACCAAACAUGAGAGUGAAACCACGUGGAAUCCUACAGACCAACCCAUCUGCCAGUGAACAUCAGAGUGACCUUAUUUGAUGCUAGUAGAGCAGAAAAAAAUGCCCAGUUGAAUUUUGUCCAAAUUCCUGAUCCACCAAUUGUGAGAUACAAAAAGGUGGUUGUUUUAAGCCACAAAACUUGAGAUAGUUUCUCAUGCAGAAAUAGAGAACCAAACCAGCUAAUCCGACCUUGCCCCCUUCCAUCAUCUUCAUGACCUCAUUUACUGCCUUUUUUUUCCCUCAUGCCUCUCUAGUCAUCGCUGCUUCCUUGCAGUUCCUCAAAUCCUCCAGACCAGCUUCUGCCCAGGACUUUUGCAUGUGCUGUUCCCAGUGUACAUUCUUCCACCUGCACAUAAAUAAAGCAGUGUAA